Molecule: ribosomal RNA, 276 nt
Filed under: uncultured bacterium
Lineage: Bacteria
Description: partial 16S ribosomal RNA
Rfam family: Bacterial small subunit ribosomal RNA
Source: RNAcentral
UAUUACCUACGGGACGCAGCAGUGAGGAAUAUUGGUCAAUGGGCGGGAGCCUGAACCAGCCAGGUCGCGUGAGGGAAGACGGUCCUAUGGAUUUUAAACCUCUUUUGUCGGGGAGCAAAGAGGCCACGUGUGGUCAAAAGCGAGAGUACCCGAAGAAAAAGCAUCGGCUAACUCCGUGCCAGAAGCCGCGGUAAUACGGGGGAUGCGAGAGUUAUCCGGAUUUAUUGGGUUUAAAGGGUGCGUAGGCGGGACGGUAAGUCAGCGGAAAAAAUGCGG